Molecule: ribosomal RNA, 327 nt
Filed under: uncultured Lachnospiraceae bacterium
Lineage: Bacteria; Bacillati; Bacillota; Clostridia; Lachnospirales; Lachnospiraceae
Description: partial 16S ribosomal RNA
Source: RNAcentral
GGAGUUUGGGCCGUGUCUCAGUCCCAAUGUGGCCGGUCACCCUCUCAGGUCGGCUACUGAUCGUCGCCUUGGUGAGCCGUUACCUCACCAACAAGCUAAUCAGACGCGGGUCCAUCCUGUACCACCGGAGUUUUUCACACUCUGACAUGCGUCAGUGUGCGCUUAUGCGGUAUUAUCACCUAUUUCUAAGUGUUAUCCCCCGGUACAGGGCAGGUUACCCACGUGUUACUCACCCGUCCGCCACUAAAAUGAAAAGAAUCCAUCCGAAAACUUCAUCUAAACAUUCCGUUCGACUUGCAUGUGUUAGGCACGCCGCCAGCGUUCAUC